AUUGCAUGAACCAAAAUGGCAUCAGGCUAUUCAAGGUUAGGAGGAGAGGGCAGUGGCCGGCCUCAGCGCUCAUAUGGCACCACUAGCCCAGAUGUUGGUUUUGCCCCGGGAGCAAGAACCGGAACAGAAUUUUUUCAAGCUUGUGUAUUCUUCUUCAACAUCAUGGCUUUCAACGGGACUUACCUACUGCGGUGACCCAGCUGCAGUGACUCAAAUGAAACACAGGAGGACUCAACGCUCCCCUUACAAUCAUGAACUGCUGUGUGAUAAGAUAACAACAAAUCUUUUCUCAAUCAACAAUGCAACGAACACAUUGGAGAGAUCACUAAAGCAAGUGGGAACAACUACAGAUAACCAGCAAUUGCGAGAUAGAAUUUCACAGAUAAACAGCAGUGCUGGAGCUGCAGUGCAGGAAAUCACUGGACUUUUACGUACUCUGCAGCCACUUGCUCAGGGUGAUAGGCAGCGGCGGGUGCAGGCAGAUCGAUUACACAAUGAAUUCCAAGCUUCUGCUUCACGCUUUGCAGAAGUUCAAAAAAAAGUAGUGAGUACACUGAGGACAGCACGGCUGCCAGCUGAUAUGGUGGCUGUGGAACAAGACAACACCUCUGCCACAGACUCCAUGAUUGCAACAGAACAACAAAGUCUUGCAAAAAUUAAGCAGUUAGAGGACAUGGAAUUUGAAGCAGCUAUGAACCAGGAGAGGGAGCAGAGAGUGCAGCGCCUAGAAUCUGACAUCAUUGACAUUAAUGAGAUCAUGCGAGACCUUUCUUCCAUAGUCACUGCCCAAGGAGAAAUUGUGGGUAUGCUGAUAUCAUAUUCCUUGGGAUCUGUUUUUCAUCCAAGAUUUAAGGAGUGAUCCCUAAUAUAACUCAAUUGAAAAUAAUGUGGAAUCUGCUGCUGGAAACGUGGAGGAGGGCAGAGAGGAGCUCAUCAAGGCUGCCCGAUACCAGAACAAGAGUCGGCGAAAGAUGUGCAUCUGCGUCCUUAUUUUGGUCAUAGUGCUUGCCCUCAUUGGAAUAAUCAUUGGGAUUCACUUUGCUAC
RNAcentral lists this unclassified non-coding RNA (1045 nucleotides) under Portunus trituberculatus (swimming crab). Its description in RNAcentral is "syntaxin-7-like, transcript variant X4". The record is from RNAcentral. Lineage: Eukaryota; Metazoa; Arthropoda; Malacostraca; Decapoda; Portunidae.